This 497-nucleotide ribosomal RNA is filed under the name uncultured bacterium. Its description in RNAcentral is "partial 16S ribosomal RNA". It matches the Rfam family "Bacterial small subunit ribosomal RNA", at positions 28 to 507 of the family's 1533-position model. The record is from RNAcentral.
GAUGAACGCUGGCGGCGUGCCUAAUACAUGCAAGUCGAGCGAACAGAUGAGGAGCUUGCUCCUCUGACGUUAGCGGCGGACGGGUGAGUAACACGUGGAUAACCUACCUAUAAGACUGGGAUAACUUCGGGAAACCGGAGCUAAUACCGGAUAAUAUAUUCAACCGCAUGGUUCAAUAGUGAAUGACGGUUUUGCUGUCACUUAUAGAUGGAUCCGCGCCGGAUUAGCUAGUUGGUAAGGUAACGGCUUACCAAGGCAACGGUGCGUAGCCGACCUGAGAGGGUGAUCGGCCACACUGGAACUGAGACACGGUCCAGACUCCUACGGGAGGCAGCAGUAGGGAAUCUUCGGCAAUGGGCGAAAGCCUGACGGAGCAACGCCGCGUGAGUGAUGAAGGUCUUCGGAUCGUAAAGCUCUGUUAUUAGGGAAGAACAAAUGUGUAAGAAACUAUGCACGUCUUGACGGUACCUAAUCAGAAAGCCACGGCUAACUACGUG